Molecule: ribosomal RNA, 500 nt
Filed under: uncultured Desulfobulbus sp.
Lineage: Bacteria; Pseudomonadati; Thermodesulfobacteriota; Desulfobulbia; Desulfobulbales; Desulfobulbaceae
Description: bacterial SSU rRNA
Rfam family: Bacterial small subunit ribosomal RNA
Source: RNAcentral
GCCCGCUCAGAAACUUAAAGGAAUUGACGGGGGCCCGCACAAGCGGUGGAGUAUGUGGUUAAUUCGAUGCAACGCGAAGAACCUUACCUGGUCUUGACAUCCCGGAGACCCUUAGGAAACUAGGGGGUGCUUCCAUCUGGAAGAAUCUGGAGACAGGUGCUGCAUGGCUGUCGUCAGCUCGUGUCGUGAGAUGUUGGGUUAAGUCCCGCAACGAGCGCAACCCUUGCCUUUAGUUGCCAGCAGUUCGGCUGGGCACUCUAAAGGGACUGCCGGUGUUAAACCGGAGGAAGGUGGGGAUGACGUCAAGUCCUCAUGGCCUUUAUGACCAGGGCUACACACGUACUACAAUGGCCGAUACAAAGGGCAGCGACACUGCGAGGUGAAGCCAAUCCCGUAAAAUCGGUCUCAGUCCGGAUUGGAGUCUGCAACUCGACUCCAUGAAGUUGGAAUCGCUAGUAAUCGUGGAUCAGCAUGCCACGGUGAAUACGUUCCCGGGCCUU